AGACUUGACACCGAGACACUUAACAUUUAGCAGCAUGAAGCAGUUGUUGUCUCGGAGAAAGAUUUACUUUAUGAUGGCCUAUGUGCAUCUUUCUAUAGGGCCUUCUGUAUAAAGAAGGAGCUGACAGUAAAAGCACCAACUUUUCAAACGCUAAAUGACUGUGAAACAGGAAUCUAUGUGACUUUUGUGUACAAUCGUUACACCAUCAGUCUCUGUGUUAGUAUCACAGGCACUGCUGUCUUCAUUCGAUCUUACAUGAUUGCUCUGGACACCUGUUACAAACUGAACCGUCCCGCUCUGUAUAUCUGCUUUCCGACUCCAGCCUAGUACAGAUGUUUAAAUGUUUCACCAGCCCCGCCCAGCCUGUGCCCAGCCAAAUCCAUUUCAUCCUCUCUGCAAGCUCAGUUACAGACAGAUAGAUCCUUUCGUCCCCCAGAGAGGUGCCCUGCGCUUCAGUGUAACAGCGUGACAGACAAAAGCUUGGGGGGGAUGCCCGUGGCCAGCCCCCAGCCUCAUCUCCUAUCCAUAAUUUUGCCUGCCUCUGCCAUUGCAGAUUACCUCCAUGGAAAUCAGUGGUGCUUGGCUGUGCUGGUGAGCUGCUGGCAGCAAUGGUACCAGCAUAUGUAAUGACACUGUCUGUCUCACAGUGACAGAAGAAGAUAAACAUUGUCGCCUCUGCAGCCACAUGUGUGACAAACAUGCCGCUAUAUCACCCUUUUUUUUCCCUUUUCUUUUUUUUCAUGUCUGGGGAAUCAUGAAGUUGGAGGUGAAAGAUUAUCGUGCUUCCAUAUAGAAGAAAACUUGACUCCACCAUACGUGGACGUAAUCCGCUCUUCUAAAGAGAAAAGGGCUUAGUGCAGAUGAAAGGAUUCCGAACGCGGGAUUUUAAAAGGGCUAUUAAUGCCACCUUAUGCACAGAAAUGCACACAGGCACACACGGCCACGCGCACACACACAAAAAAGAAUUUUAGUUUUUUUACACUUUAGAUUUGACUUCACGUGUCGCAGCAAGUGUCUACAACAUUUCUGGAACUAUUUGUCCUCCAGCUUCUCCUCGUCUUUGUCUUAUUUUUCCCCAUUCCUGCUCCUACUGCCUUCAUCUCCUCAUUGUUUCCUUCUCAUCCUUAAUUACUUCUCCCUCCUCAAUCCCAUUGCCUCCUUCUUCUUCUCCUUGUCCUGCUUUGUCCUCUUUUACAGUAGCUUGUCCUCCACCCUCUUCUACUCAUUUGCUUUUUCCUGCCCAUCAAUCAUCCAUCAUUUUGCCCUUUUCACUUUCUUUUCCCUCUCAUCUUUUGUUUUCUUUAUCCUCUUUUCACUUACUGUUAUUUUUUGCUCUCUCUAUAGCUUCUUCACUUCCUCCUCCUCAUCUCCUUGUUUCCUUCUGUUCUUGUUAGUUUUGUCCCUUUUUUUUUACAUUACUUCCUGUCCUUUUCUAGUUAUAUUUUCCCCCUUUUUCUUUUUCUUAUUGAAUGGGGAAAAGGUGCAUUUUUUUUUUGUGGUUCACAGCAAUUAUUGAAAAUAAUGCAGAUUUAAAAAAAACAAAAAACAUUUUUGUUAAUGAGAGGAUCUGCUGUCAGCAGAUUCUUCCUAUGUCUCCAUCACUAUGCUAACAAUUAAACGUGACAGUAUCAUGUAAUAAAUACCAGCAGACACAGUUUACCUCAAAUAAUAUUAAAGUGUCAGUCAGGUUUAUGUAGCAAUAACAGAUAAACUAACGGUGAAACCUAUACUAUCAUAAUGCAGGAAUGCUGAUUAAAUAACCACCCAGUGACACUUCCUACAGUCUGUUUGCUCAUUUAUUUUUAGAGGUCCCUGCAGUGUUGAACACACUGAAGCAAUAAUCCUG
This is a long non-coding RNA of Astatotilapia calliptera (eastern happy), 1846 nucleotides long. NCBI's taxonomy places the organism in Eukaryota, Metazoa, Chordata, Actinopteri, Cichliformes, Cichlidae. The record is from Ensembl.